RNAcentral lists this long non-coding RNA (429 nucleotides) under Lathyrus oleraceus (garden pea). RNAcentral describes it as "Pisum sativum (pea) long non-coding RNA (PSAT_LNC024358)". The record is from RNAcentral. Lineage: Eukaryota; Viridiplantae; Streptophyta; Magnoliopsida; Fabales; Fabaceae.
GGGAAGACCCAAUGGGGACAAUACUGCUUGAUCAAGGCAAGUAUCCAAAGGGGACAAGACUAUCAAUACCACAAAGAGGGGAUUACAUCUACCGGUUUGUAGGCAGAAAACCACAGAAAAGUAACCAGUCAUCGACCAGGAUGAGCACAAAGGGUUAACUCUGCUAGGGGAUGAAAGUGGGAUUUUACAACUACCAGUUAGUAGGUAGAAAACCACAAAGAUAGGACUUACAACUACCGGUUCGUUGGUAGAAGCCAAAAAUUCCGCUGAGGAUGAGAUGAAUGAGUGCCGGUUAGUGAGCAACCAUUCAUUUAUGCCCCAGAGAAGUACAAGAGACAGCGAACAAGAAGCCAAUUUAGGAUCGAUCCAAGAAGGCAAACUGAAUCAAGACUCAUCCUAAUGAGGAAAGAACUCAAUAGGGAAAACCCA